RNAcentral lists this ribosomal RNA (763 nucleotides) under uncultured Streptococcus sp. Its description in RNAcentral is "bacterial SSU rRNA". It matches the Rfam family "Bacterial small subunit ribosomal RNA", at positions 28 to 776 of the family's 1533-position model. Lineage: Bacteria; Bacillati; Bacillota; Bacilli; Lactobacillales; Streptococcaceae. The record is from RNAcentral.
GACGAACGCUGGCGGCGUGCCUAAUACAUGCAAGUAGAACGCUGAAGGAGGAGCUUGCUCUUCUGGAUGAGUUGCGAACGGGUGAGUAACGCGUAGGUAACCUGCCUGGUAGCGGGGGACAACUAUUGGAAACGAUAGCUAAUACCGCAUAAGAGUAGAUGUUGCAUGACAUUUGCUUAAAAGGUGCAAUUGCAUCACUACCAGAUGGACCUGCGUUGUAUUAGCUAGUUGGUGGGGUAACGGCUCACCAAGGCGACGAUACAUAGCCGACCUGAGAGGGUGAUCGGCCACACUGGGACUGAGACACGGCCCAGACUCCUACGGGAGGCAGCAGUAGGGAAUCUUCGGCAAUGGACGGAAGUCUGACCGAGCAACGCCGCGUGAGUGAAGAAGGUUUUCGGAUCGUAAAGCUCUGUUGUAAGAGAAGAACGAGUGUGAGAGUGGAAAGUUCACACUGUGACGGUAUCUUACCAGAAAGGGACGGCUAACUACGUGCCAGCAGCCGCGGUAAUACGUAGGUCCCGAGCGUUGUCCGGAUUUAUUGGGCGUAAAGCGAGCGCAGGCGGUUAGAUAAGUCUGAAGUUAAAGGCUGUGGCUUAACCAUAGUACGCUUUGGAAACUGUUUAACUUGAGUGCAAGAGGGGAGAGUGGAAUUCCAUGUGUAGCGGUGAAAUGCGUAGAUAUAUGGAGGAACACCGGUGGCGAAAGCGGCUCUCUGGCUUGUAACUGACGCUGAGGCUCGAAAGCGUGGGGAGCAAACAGG